ACGAGGCCAUCAGAGCCCGUAUGAGAAUUUGGGAAAGGCAUUUGAAGUCCUGUUUAUUUGAAUCAAGCAUAAACACACUGUGCACAUGUCUGGCUGCUGGUGGGGCAGGGAGGAGGCUGGGGAGCAGAUCCUUCUGCGGUGGAUUUCAAAUGGAGAUCAGCUGGCCCGAGUGAUCGAUUACCCCGGAUGAAAAGACUCAGAGCUGUGGACUCGUAGCAGGAAGAGCCCUUAGAAACAGGGAACUGCUCUUUUUACAGUUAGGGAUACUGAAGACCAGAGAGGUGCUUGCUUGCCCAAAGUCGCGCAGCUUAGCUUGAAAGUAAAUUAUGGAAGAAUUCUGGUGGGCUUUGGGGUCAGACAGCGUUGAGUUCAAGUCCUGGAUCUAUCACUAUAUUCCUUGGUGUCAGCUUCAUUCCAAGAAUGAAUUCCAAGAGCAUUUGUGGCUCUUUCUGGGUCUCUGAAUCCCCAUCUCCAAAAUAAGGGGAUUGGAUUAGAUUGGAUUAGUCUGCUGCUCAUCUCCACGCCAAACUCCCUCCACCCUCACAAGCCUCAAUGGCCAAUGGACAGUGUCAAGCUGGAAACCCAGUAGGAUUUCUAAUUUGUCAACAGAACCCAGCACAGCCCAGAGGGAAGAGGGUUUUAAAUGGAAAGAAAGAACGCAGCAGAACUGAAGGACAAGAGGAUGUUGCUCUGCCCGUUUGCAGCAGAACAAACUAAACUUUGGGCUUUAUUUCAGGAAUGCUGGGGAAUUACCAUCUCUCAGGGUGGGAGAGGGUUGUAGAGUCUGCUCUGUCUACUCGUGUCCUGUGAUGGCUGAAUGUCCACCAAAUGACUACCAAACCUCUGUCCCAGUGGCUCGAGGGUCAGGCAGCCACUGCCUCUGGAGGCAGCUUCUAAGAACAGCCAUUCACUCGAUCAACAAACGUUAAUCAAAUGCCAAAUAGCAACAGAGCACCUGCCAGGCGAGGGACGAGGUGCUGGAGCAGUGAGACAACUGAAAUCGACUUGGUCCCUGUGCUUGUGGCACCAAGAGUCUAGUGGGGGUUAUAGACACUAAGUAAUUAAAUGCUUGGGUGAAAUAAUUAUAACUUACAAUGACUGUUAUGG
This 1107-nucleotide long non-coding RNA is filed under the name Equus asinus (donkey). RNAcentral's name for it is "lncRNA (ENSEASG00005030709.1)". The record is from RNAcentral. Lineage: Eukaryota; Metazoa; Chordata; Mammalia; Perissodactyla; Equidae.